Molecule: ribosomal RNA, 475 nt
Filed under: uncultured Pseudomonadota bacterium
Lineage: Bacteria; Pseudomonadati; Pseudomonadota
Description: bacterial SSU rRNA
Rfam family: Bacterial small subunit ribosomal RNA
Source: RNAcentral
AACGCUGGCGGUAGGCUUACACAUGCAAGUCGUGCGAGAAAGUAUCUUCGGAUAUGAGUAGAGCGGCGGACGGGUGAGUAACGCGUAGGAAUCUACCUAGUAGAAGGGGAUAGCCCGGGGAAACUCGGAUUAAUACCGUAUACCUCCUUCGGGAGAAAGAAGGCCUCUCUUUGAUGCUUUCGCUAUUAGAUGAGCCUGCGUAAGAUUAGCUUGUUGGUGAGGUAAAGGCUCACCAAGGCGACGAUCUUUAGCUGGUCUGAGAGGACGAUCAGCCACAUUGGGACUGAGACACGGCCCAGACUCCUACGGGAGGCAGCAGUGGGGAAUAUUGGACAAUGGGCGCAAGCCUGAUCCAGCCAUACCGCGUGUGUGAAGAAGGCCUUCGGGUUGUAAAGCACUUUAAGCAGGGAGAAAAAGUUAUAAGUUAAUACCUUAUAGCCGUGAUGUUACCUGCAGAAUAAGCACCGGCUAAUUC